UACGGAGGGUGCGAGCGUUGUCCGGAAUCACUGGGCGUAAAGGGCGCGUAGGCGGCGCGGAAAGUCGUCGGUGAAAGCUCGGGGCUCAACCCUGAGUCUGCCGGUGAUACUCCCGCGCUCGAGCUCACUAGAGGCAGAUGGAAUUCCGGGUGUAGCGGUGGAAUGCGUAGAUAUCUGGAGGAACACCAGUGGCGAAGGCGGCUUCCUGGCCUGCAACUGACGCUGAGACGCGAAAGCGUGGGGAGCGAACCGG
RNAcentral lists this ribosomal RNA (253 nucleotides) under uncultured bacterium. Its description in RNAcentral is "partial 16S ribosomal RNA". It matches the Rfam family "Bacterial small subunit ribosomal RNA", at positions 524 to 776 of the family's 1533-position model. The record is from RNAcentral.